UAGAGAAAAGCUCACUUGUGAGGGCUUCUACAAAAGACAGGAAACUGUAAGCAGAAGGGGCAGCAGGAAGAAGGCUGCAGUCACUCCCUGGAGUGUUUCAGGGACUGCAAAGUUACUCCAAGGGAGGGGGGCGUGAAGAGAGUGGCAAACCCAGAGGAGUGAGGAAGGCUAGAAGGGAAACCACAAUAGUGACCUGGCUGGAGGACCGAGUCAUGAAGAGGACAGCUGUGGCUCCUGAAAGCUGAAGAGGAACUGCAGAGGAGAAAAUGAAGGGAUAUAACUGCUGGAAGGGGGUGAGCUAAUCUCUAGAACUGCCAGGGAGCAACACUAUCUAGUGGGGUCUUCAAGUUGGACAUAACAAAAUGGAAAAUCAUUCCAGCAUGAAACUUGAUAUAAGACCAUAGGGAUGCAAAGGCCAGCUUCUAAUUUGGCAUAAACCUGCAUGGGUCAACUGUCAACUUCCCUCCUGGACACCAUCCCCACCCCACAUUCUACCCUCUGCUCUAGCCCACGCUGGAGGUCCACCUCCAACAGUACCUUCAGGAACCCUGCCUGCCAGUUUAUACCAGCUGAGGUGGUUGCCCUAAUUUUUUGAAUAUUUUUUGUGUGUUUCUAAGUACAAAAUCAAAGGAAAGAGAUCCAAGCUGAAAGGUACUUCUUUACACUUUCAGAAACAGUAGCUUCAAGAUUUUGUGCGGCUACACCAAAAUUAAUUAAAGAAGUGGUAUUUUAUUUUUAAAGGCAAAUCUGUCAAAACAAGUAAAUAAAAUGCAAAGCUGGGUAAGACUGCAAACCUAAGUUCAGCUCUGGCACGAACUUCUGCAAUUCCUUUUGGCAACAUUAGGACUAGGGAAGAACUUAGUAUGCUGGAACAUAUCUCCAGCUAGUGUAAAUUAAUGUUGCUAUAUUGACUUUAAUGUAGCAAGGCCAGUUUAUACCAGCUAACGAUCUGGAUUGUGAACAUGACAGGCACUGUCAUCUGCCACUUUUCCUUCAUGCCAUCCUCACCUCACCGCUCCCCCCCCAAAAAAAGUGUUCUCACCAGAAUCUUCAGGCAAAACUAUUUACACUGAAUAAGGACUACAGGAUUUUCCAUUGACUAAUUAUGAAACAAGCUCUUUCCAGAAAAACAAAUAUUCACAGAGAAGUACUAAGCCUGUCAUUUACAGUAAGGCCACACAUUUCUCUGGCAGUUUUAAAAGGCCUUAAAGUGGGAAUGCAGCUAUUUUACCACAUUCCUCUGCUCUGUCUAGAAACAGCUAUGAAUCCCAUGGCAAAGCACUUGUCUCUAUCCCUCUUAAGAGGCAGGUCAAUGCAGAAGAUAACAGACUUAUACCACUUCCUGUUACUCCAUUAGCACAAAUGGUAGAGGUGGGUGGGUGUAAAAAUUCAAAACAAAACAUUCCCUGCAUAAUCUUCACCCACUGGGGAGAGGAUGAGAACAAACAAAUGACAUCCCAGUUCUGUUGCUUAAUGCCACAUUGGAAGGCUCGCAGAUACUGGGGGUGCAGUAUAAGGUCCUGUGUAGAAUAGAGAUGAUACAUGGCUAACCAAGUUUGCACCUGUGCUAGAUGGACUCCUUUGUACUGUUAAUUCACUUGUGACGUAGAGGGGUGUAACCAAUAUGUGUCUCAAUAAAGGUUUCAAAAAUCCUUAUUUGGGAACCCUCUUUCUCCUCUCACUAUGUGGGCGUAAAACAUUUGUUUUUGCCAAUAAAGUCAUUCAUAUCUCAUACUAAUUAUAUCAACUGUGGAGUAAUUAGUACUUUAUAUUGUGAUAGAGAAUCAGGUCAAUUGUCAGUUCAUAUUACACUAUGAAAGUGUACCUAAUAGUACCAAAAGCAACUCUCUACUUCCUGGGAAUAAGAAUUACUCUCAGCAAACAGCAUUAGCAACAGGAAAUUACAAAGCACAUGUUUCUUCAUUACCCACUAGAAAUAGCAUCACCAGAAACAGCAUCAUGAUCAAAAAAGAGAACUGUGUUGGGAAGUUUUCUUUUGCC
Molecule: long non-coding RNA, 2001 nt
Organism: Mauremys mutica (yellowpond turtle)
Lineage: Eukaryota; Metazoa; Chordata; Testudines; Geoemydidae
Exons: 3
Source: RefSeq, a predicted model, not a curated record